UACGUAGGGUGCGAGCGUUGUCCGGAAUUACUGGGUGUAAAGGGAGCGUAGGCGGGGGUUCAAGCCCUAUGUUAAAUCCAUCGGCUCAACCGGUGGCUGCGUAGGGAACUGGAUCUCUUGAGUGAAGUAGAGGCAGGCGGAAUUCCUAGUGUAGCGGUGAAAUGCGUAGAUAUUAGGAGGAACACCAGUGGCGAAGGCGGCCUGCUGGGCUUUUACUGACGCUGAGGCUCGAAAGCGUGGGGAGCAAA
This 248-nucleotide ribosomal RNA is filed under the name uncultured bacterium. RNAcentral's name for it is "partial 16S ribosomal RNA". It matches the Rfam family "Bacterial small subunit ribosomal RNA", at positions 524 to 772 of the family's 1533-position model. The record is from RNAcentral.